This 497-nucleotide ribosomal RNA is filed under the name uncultured bacterium. RNAcentral's name for it is "partial 16S ribosomal RNA". It matches the Rfam family "Bacterial small subunit ribosomal RNA", at positions 28 to 507 of the family's 1533-position model. The record is from RNAcentral.
GAUGAACGCUGGCGGCGUGCCUAAUACAUGCCAGUCGAGCGAACGGACGAGAAGCUUGCUUUUCUGAUGUUAGCGGCGGACGGGUGAGUAACACGCGGAUAACCUACCUAUAAGACUGGGAUAACUUCGGGAAACCGGAGCUAAUACCGGAUAAUAUUUUGAACCGCAUGGUUCAAAAGUGAAAGACGGUCUUGCUGUCACUUAUAGAUGGAUCCGCGCUGCAUUAGCUAGUUGGUAAGGUAACGGCUUACCAAGGCAACGAUGCAUAGCCGACCUGAGAGGGUGAUCGGCCACACUGGAACUGAGACACGGUCCAGACUCCUACGGGAGGCAGCAGUAGGGAAUCUUCCGCAAUGGGCGAAAGCCUGACGGAGCAACGCCGCGUGAGUGAUGAAGGUCUUCGGAUCGUAAAACUCUGUUAUUAGGGAAGAACAUAUGUGUAAGUAACUGUGCACAUCUUGACGGUACCUAAUCAGAAAGCCACGGCUAACUACGUG